Molecule: small nucleolar RNA, 107 nt
Organism: Dioscorea cayenensis subsp. rotundata (Guinea yam)
Lineage: Eukaryota; Viridiplantae; Streptophyta; Magnoliopsida; Dioscoreales; Dioscoreaceae
Source: RefSeq, a predicted model, not a curated record
AUUCCAUGAGGUGGGCAUUUUCUCAAUAUUUCCUUGAACCUUUCCUAAGCAUUGUACAAAGAUUCAAACUCUAGCUGCACAAAAGAUUUGAUGUCAUUCCUCAACUU